CUGUAUGAUUUUUUAAAUCCUAAAUUUAACCCAUUUUCUUUCUUGGGGAGGCCCUCCAUACUGUGGUUGCAUUCAAUUUCCAUAGUGCUAUACCCAAAAAUUUCUUUCUGGCAGAAACACUGGCCACCUAACAGGAGUAACAAAAUAAUGGUCUGGCAAUGCAGUGGCUACUUAAUACAGGUUAAAAAGUGCUAUUAUAUUACACUAAACAUAAUCAUUCUCUGUUAUAUUACACUAAAUAUAAUCAUUCUUCGUACGAGAAAGAUUGGAUUGGGCGUUGUGGUCAUACACUGAGCUUUUCCCCCAAAAUACAAUUGCUGUACAACAGCCGAAGCUAUACACACAACUGCCAUGUGUAUAGCCACUGCUGUGUUAAGUGACAUGUAAAAGCCACUUUUAUGUUAAGUGACAAAGAAGGCCCCAUUCACUGAGGUUGUAUUUAUUUAUCUUUCUUUGCAAUAUUUAGCACGAUGUGUGUAGGUUAGUCAACUGGACCUGAGCGUCAAAAGAUUCUUGCAAAGUGUGGCUUUCGGGUCAGUACAAAGAAGGUGGUCUGCAGUGCAGAUCAAAUAAGGAGAAGCGAUCAGAAGAAUGGGAAACUCAUGUAUUAUAUUAUAGCUGAUAUGGCAAAAUAGUACAAUAGUUGCAUAGGAGAGGUGACUAUUUAGUACAGAUGAAUUAGUGAUGUGUCAUGAUAUGGCUGAAUAGUAAGGUGGUUGCAUGAGAGAGGGGUCUAAUUAAUACAGAUUAAUUAGUGCUGUUACAUGAUAUAGCAGAAUAGUACAGUGGUUGCAUAAGAGAGGUGUCUAAUUAAUACAAAUUAAUUGGUGCUGUUACAUGAUACAGCAGACAAGUAAGGUGGUUGCAUAAGAGAGGUGUCUAAUUAAUACAGAUUAAUUAGUGCUGUUACAUGAUAUAGCAGAGUAGUAAGGUGGUUGCAUAAGAGAGGUGUCUAAUUAAUACAGAUUAAUUAGUGCUGUUACAUGAUAUAGCAGACAAGUAAGGUGGUUGCAUAAGAGAGGUGUCUAAUUAAUAUAGAUUAAUUAGUGCUGUUACAUGAUAUAGCAGAGUAGUAAGGUGGUUGCAUGAGAGAGGUGGCUAUUUAAUGCAGAUUAAUUAGUGCUGUUACAUAAUAUAGCAGAAAAAUAAGGUGGUUGGAUAAAAGGUGGCUACUUAAUAGAUAUUAAUUAGUGCUGUUUCAUAAUAUAGCUGAAAAGUAAGAUGUUUGCAUAAGAGAGGUGUCUCUUUAAUACGGAUUAAUUAGUGAUGUAACAUGAUAUAGCAGAAUAAUAGGGUGGUUGCAUAAGAGAGGUGGCUGGUUAAUAAAGUGAGGAAUAACAACCAGAACUGGCUUUAUGCACUGUUUGCCAAAAUGAGUGGAGUCUUUAUUUAGCUUUUUCUCUCCUUUUGUUUUAAAGUAUUUAUUGGGGUGGAUGGGUGGGGGUCAUACAAUACAUGUAAUAAAUAAAUAAAAUAGUUUUCUUUUCUAAUUUUUCAGGCAUUUUGUUACCUUGUUUUGUUAUGUUUUUUAUGUUUCUCCUUUAAAUCUGUAAUGUGAAAUCUAAAAGUUACUACACGAUAAAAAGAGGUGCUAAUUGUACAGUAAGUUAAUAAUAAGAAUAUUUGAAAAAAUUCUCUCAAAAUCCAGAUGCAAUGCUGUAGGACAUGUUCUGUUUCAGUUUUACCAAUGUUUAAAUCAAAGUAUAUUUAUCCAGUGAAAGAGUACUGGGAUGCAACACCCACCCCAACAUCAUAAUCUACCCAAAAUGCAGAGAUUACUAAUACUGGAGGAAUAUAAUUAUUAAUUAAUAUUUUUAGUGGUAUAGAAGUGAUGUUAAUGUACUUUGGAAUAGUCUGGGUACUCCUUUUUGAAGUUGCACGUCCUCCCUAGAAAUAACCUGGAUCCACCCUGAUUAUUGUAUCAGUCAAAGUGAAUUGUAUUAUAAAAGUUUAUAUUAAAACAAUUUGAAUGUUACGUACCAUUAGACCAUUAUUGAGGGGUCGGGUAUACAGUGAGAUAGUAUCAUAGGGGCAUAUGUGGUUUUAUUAUCCACAUAGUUCAAGAUAUGCAGGGAAAUAUAACCAGUAUGACCCACAUGUGUCAUAAUGAUUUCAUGUGCACAAUGAAUGACGUAAUUUUGUGAAUCGACGUCAUAACUUAAUGCGGCUUCCCCAGUAUAAACACUUAACAAAAUGACGUCAUUUCGGAGAAUGGCAUGGUUUCAUUGUCUCUUUUUAGUUACGUUUGAAAUGUUUUGACAUUGUCCUAGCUUGUUGUUAAUAAAAAUAAUAUUUUGGAUAAUGUGGAUAAUAAAGAAAUGAUUAGACUUGUGUGUGAAUCAUACUGAUUUUACGAAACUCGUGUCAGGAUUCAUGAAUUACCCUCGCCCUCACUCGGGUAAUACAACAAUCCUGACACUCGUACGACACUGUACGACACACAAGCUUCAGGGGCGUAGCGUGAGCUGGACCUGGGGGGUUCGAAUAUGAACCAAGUGGACCUUUUCCAUUUUGUUUUUGCACCACCAGAAACUACAUAUGUAUAAACCUUAUGUUUUAGUUAUGAAAGCGGACCAUUUGCUUCAGCGAACCCACACACACACACACACCCAGUCUACACUCUUGAGUUUGUACAAUAAUCUAUAUAUCAGUUGAGAAUGUGAGUAUGUAGGGCUCAUCAUGAACAAGAAGAGGAGGGUGGGGCCUGGAUCAGAUAUAAGCUUGUAUGGGGAGUAUUGAACAAAACAGUUUUAAGAGCCACUGCAUUAGACACACGUACAGUGAAACUCCUCUAAACCGGACACUAGGGACCAAUAAAAAUGUCUGGUAUUAAGAGGGAUCUGGUUUAGAGAGGUUAAGUUCUGUACUGGUUUUUAAAAAGGGACUCUGUAAAAUGUCCGGUUUUGAAUGAAUUCCGAUUUGCAAAGGGUCCGAUCUUGAGAGGUUUUACUGUAUUUAGAAAUUACCAAAACUGGUAAAUUAAUAAUUCCUUAUUAACCACCAUUUGUUGAUAUUGUUACCAUUUGUUAACUGUACAUACAUGUGUGGAUAUUUAUUAUCUGUCAGUUGUUUUUUAUUUUUCACAGUAGUAAAGUGAAUAGGUAGUUAAAUGCUAUUUAACAGCAGCAGCAAUUCAAGAGGUCAUAAUGUUUGUAUCAAAUAGUUGUCAUAAUGUCAGGUGCAGCAUGAGUCUUGAUUACAAUUUCAAGUUGUCAUUUCUGUGGCAGUUUUUUUACUUUACAGGCAUAAUUCAGGUAAUAUUUACACAUAUUUUUAUCUCCAAUUGUUACAAAAAUAAUAAUAAUCUUUUUAAGCUACAUAAUUUGUCAAUGAAUAGGUUAUUUUAAAAUGUAUUCAUAAUAAAAUGAACUAUUUAAAAUGUAUUCAUAAUAAAAUGCACUGUAAUGAGAUUGUAUUUUUAAUUUUUAUUGUUUUAACAUCAUGAUCUGUAGUCUUUUCCUAGAAGUAAGUGACAUUUUUUUACUAUGGUAUGUACUACUAUCUAUUUAUUUUGGAACCCAAUGUUUUAUAAAGUACAAACAAAAAUAGUGCUUUUUAUAUUUCCAAAACACUUCUACUUUCCUUUUUCUGUCAAAUGAAACUGAAAUUCUUUUCGAGAAACAUUGUUCAUGAAGGCUGGGAAGGACUAUAGCUUUAAAAACUUAACAGGGUGUUUAUAUAUUUCAUAAUGUAUCUGAUUAAAUGUAUCUUUAGGUUGUAUUGGAGUUUUAAAAAAAAUACCUAUCAAUGAUGAUUUGUAAUAAAGUUGUUGAAGUUU
Molecule: long non-coding RNA, 3778 nt
Organism: Gigantopelta aegis
Lineage: Eukaryota; Metazoa; Mollusca; Gastropoda; Neomphalida; Peltospiridae
Exons: 2
Source: RefSeq, a predicted model, not a curated record